GAUGAACGCUGGCGGCGUGCCUAAUACAUGCAAGUCGAGCGAACGGACGAGAAGCUUGCUUCUCUGAUGUUAGCGGCGGACGGGUGAGUAACACGUGGAUAACCUACCUAUAAGACUGGGAUAACUUCGGGAAACCGGAGCUAAUACCGGAUAAUAUUUUGAACCGCAUGGUUCAAAAGUGAAAGACGGUCUUGCUGUCACUUAUAGAUGGAUCCGCGCUGCAUUAGCUAGUUGGUAAGGUAACGGCUUACCAAGGCAACGAUGCAUAGCCGACCUGAGAGGGUGAUCGGCCACACUGGAACUCAGACACGGUCCAGACUCCUACGGGAGGCAGCAGUAGGGAAUCUUCCGCAAUGGGCGAAAGCCUGACGGAGCAACGCUGCGUGAGUGAUGAAGGUCUUCGGAUCGUAAAACUCUGUUAUUAGGGAAGAACAUAUGUGUAAGUAACUGUGCACAUCUUGACGGUACCUAAUCAGAAAGCCACGGCUAACUACGUG
Molecule: ribosomal RNA, 497 nt
Filed under: uncultured bacterium
Lineage: Bacteria
Description: partial 16S ribosomal RNA
Rfam family: Bacterial small subunit ribosomal RNA
Source: RNAcentral